UGAAAUAAAUAAGGUCAUGGGGAAUUUCGGGAAGUCACUGAAGUGGAUUUCUUGGGUGAAGUCACUAGAAGUGAAAAAAUUAUCUGUCAUUUAUCUACCACAAGGAGCUCUAUCGAUGCAAAAUAAUGGAUAAGCACUUAAAGUCCCUUUCAAAAAAACAUAUUGAUACAAAGUUCAUCAUGCUUGCAGAGGUGAGGACUAAAAUCUUUUGCAAAACUGGCAAUCAAAACUUUGACUAGCCAAUAACCAUUCAUAACUUACUGCAGUGCCAGGUAUUGAUCUAAAUCAGGCAGCUCGAAAGGUUACAGAAGUUCAGAUUCUAUUUUUCGAGGUAUUGAUCAAAAUCAGGCUGUUCAAAAGGUCGCUGAGAGAAGAAUUCAAAUAUAGUCGCAUAUUCAAUAGGUUCUUGAACCCAUAUUCGUUUUUCAUAAUAAAUAAUAUGUUUCAUUUCAGAUCUGGUGCAAGAAGCUUUAGAUUCUGCUUUGUUAUGGUGCAUGUAAGUACCUUGGUUCAUUUAAAAUGGAUCUACUUUUAUGUGCUCCAGAUCAAGCCAGAACUAUUGCUGUUUGCUAUGCGGACUGGUAUGUUUGGAGUUAACUGUUAGCUAAGUUCAUGAAUAAGGAAUUAUGGCCAAUGUGAUUGAUGGAUUCAAUUUCGGUAUUGGAAAUAAUGAUAAGCUUGAAUUUGAUUUUACAGUAGAGUGAAAACGAAAAACUUAUGAAAAUUAAGUGGUCCAAUGUGUCUUAGAAGCAUACUGCUAGAGAGUGAUCAAUUCAUAGUAGUUGGUUCAAUUUGUUGAUCGAAGCAUGUAUAUGGCACGAAUUAUUUAUGCAUUUCAGUCAUCAAGUGCUUCAGAACAUGUGACUUCGACAGAAUAUGAUCAUGUACAUGGCAUCAAUUAUGGCCAUUGAGAAUAAUUGUGCCAGCUCACUACUGUAACUUAGAUAGUUAAUGCCACAUUAGCUUGGUAGUUGUAACAGCUUAAGAGCUUGCUAUCUUAAUGUGCAAGUUUGUAAGCCUUGGGAGUAAAAUUUGGUCCAACUAAGUGUAGGAUAAGUAGGCUAUAAAUUCUAUAUUAUGCUGUGAAUCUCCAGUUAAGAAAAUGAUUCAAACGAAUAUACAAAAUUUCAAAUUUACCUUCUCUUAUUUUCUCUCAACUGACAGAGCCAAUCAUAGGCAUAGAAAUAGAUUAUUCUUGGCCUAAUUUGGUCAUUUUUGUUGGCGCUUGCAUACGAGGUCGUUGCCACUAAUAUGUUUUCAUGAUAUUGAUGAUGAUUCUUAAUCUAUAUAUCUAUUUUUAGUGAAUCUAGUUGUUAAUGAUGCAAUAGGUGUCUAUCUAAUUUUCUGAACAUCUGACAUAUUUUUCCUAUAAGCUUAGCUAGAAGUAUUCGUAGAGUAUUUUUAUACUACAUGAAAAUAAUAUUUUUAUACUAGAUUAUUUGUAUCAGUAAUCAUAUUUCUAAAUGUGUUUGGACUUUUUCAACCCGGUGAAAGUUCCAAUAGUUCACCCUCACAAUUCUCAUGAUCAGUUAGUCAUAAACUUAUUAUGCUUCUUUAUAUCAAAAACCUCUAAAUCUUGGAGGCAAAAAUAUGAAUUGAGAUUAAUUAAGAAAUAUUAGAAUAUUGUUCAAUUGGUUCAUAUUUUGCAUUUGAUUGUUUUAAUCACGUCAUAUAUAUAAUAAAGCUUAAUGGUUGAGCUAUAUACUAGUUUGUUUUGUUAUAAUGUGUUUUUCACCUACAGAAAAAGUGUUAGCUAGUACUAAUAUGUUUUCUUAUAAUGUGUUCUUCUUUCUAAUGUAAUGUAAGGGAUAUAUAUUUCAUGAUCUAUAAGUUUAUUGGUUAAAGCUGGAAGUAUAUGUAAUAUUAUGUAUUUAGUAAGUUCAGUUGCAGGUUCAAAGACUGAACAAUUGAGUAUUCUGCAUGGUGAUGGUUUUUUUGGUCUCAGUAAUGCUACAACUGUAUUGUGCUUGUGUAAAACAAGUCUCAGGAAUGCUACAAGUGUAUGUGAUAUUUUGCUAGAAAAAAAUCGAUGUUGGUGAAGAUGUAACAGGUUCUCGUUUUACACAUGAUGAAACCGUAUCUUCGAGAGGAGACAACAUAGGACUGCUCGACAAGUUUCUAGCCAAACUGAAUAUCGGGGCAUUUGAACUUAAACUAUUAGAAGCAUAUCCAUGAUAUUGUAUAUGGACUGAAUUUACAAAAGAACCGUUGUUGAGUUUCAUUUCUAUUAUGGAGACUAAGCUCAUUUUCAUUUUUAAAUAUAGGAACACUCGGCGAAGAAUCAGGACAAGAUCGAGAUGACCCUAAGUUGAUGGCUAUGCUAAGUCUAAAGCUUAUAUUUCCCGAAUGAAACCGAGAAAGAAAACGACUAGAAGAGUUUGUUGGCUGAGUUGAAAAGCCGCGUGUCGAGAUGCUCACAGUUUUGGAUUCAGUGUGACUCUGCUCAUCAAGAUCAAUGUUAUAAGGCAUACAAGGUGGAAUGAAGGUUAAGCUGACAGAGAUGAGUCAUCUCCUUAUGCUGCUAUGCUUGCAGCACAGGAUGUUGCCACCAAAUGCAAGAUCGUUGACUCUGCCCGUUCCAUUUUAGAAGCAUUGACAAAUAUGCUUUGUUGAUGAAUCCACCAGCAAGGAGUUUAGAGGAAUUGAAGUCAGAUAGAAUUUCAAGUAUUUAUUAGUGUUUUAAUCUUCUUAGAACAACAUCUAUUGCAUCUACAAUUUGUGCGGCUACGGAGCUAAUGCAUCUCUUUUCUCAUCUUAUAUUACCAAUGGAGCUCUCUUUGAUAAGUUUGGUAGAAGAACAUUCUUUCUAUGAAGUUGCAAUAGAAAUUUUAU
This is a long non-coding RNA of Vicia villosa (hairy vetch), 2832 nucleotides long. RefSeq lists it as uncharacterized. Lineage: Eukaryota; Viridiplantae; Streptophyta; Magnoliopsida; Fabales; Fabaceae. The transcript has 6 exons. The record is from RefSeq and is a predicted model, not a curated record.